CCGGUGCAGAGCGAUUAUUAGCGUGUGCGUGUGCGUGCAUGUGCGCAUCUUCUGCGUUUCUUUCACGCUUUUUGUCUUUCGAACCCUUUUUCUGAGUUGAUCUGAAAGGGUAGCCGCUACAGAGCUGGCGCACACGGCUGCAGACUGCACCCGCACAUCGCCACCUCUCUCGUCCUUCGCACCCUUCUCGCGUAGCAGACGCCUUCGGCUCGCGUAAACGCAUCUUUGCACGAGCGCAGACUCAGGGCCAGCGAACAAAAAAAAAGAAAAAGAUGGAGGGGCAUGCUCUGGGGAAUGGCAUCCAGGGCGCAGAUCCACCUGGCGGAGCCGGUGGCUGGUCCUCUGGCGCCCCGACUCCCCUAAGUUUCACGCCCCCAUUUGUGUCAGCGGUGCACCCGCCAUGCGCGCCGCUGGUAGCCGUCUCCUCGCCCACUUCCAACAACGGUUUUGGUGCCGCAGUGGCAGAUGGGCCACACAUGAUCCACGUGCCGGGCAGCGCGGCGGAGAAUGUGAGCACCGGCCACCAAGCUUCGCACACUCCGUUGGCGUCUGCGUCUGGCUCCGCGGCGCACCGACCGACGUCGCAGGGCCCAUUCCCGGCCGCCUCUACGCUGACAUCCCCGUCGCUGGCGCUAACGGGGUGGCGCGGUGGCGGUGCGGGCGACAGCACUGAUGAUCCGAAUGCGUCCUUCUCUGGUGCCACGACGACAUCUGCCACGGACACAGGCGAGGACAGGGGCUUCAAAUUUGAACGCGCGGGCAGGCGGCCCGUUACUCGUGUCGUCGACCCAACCGAGGUGCCGGCGCUCAAGUACACGAUAGCGGUUUCUGUAACCCGGGAUGGCAAAGAGGUCGAGGAGCUGCUGGACCCAUUUGAACUGGGCCGCCUGUACGGCCAGAGGCAGGCGGCUCUCCGCAAGCUGAAGAGUCGUUACGACUUUCUUGCGGUGCCGGAGUGGGUGCGGCUGCACCCGCUGCUUGGAACGUAUUUCGCUGAGCUGGUCGGCACCUUUGGGUGGGUGCUCACUUUGGCGCUGGUGAGCGUGCGCAACGAGAGCAUCUUCAGCAUCUCCGACGCCACCAACAUGAUGCCGCUGCCCAUCGGCUUCAUGUUCACGAGUAUGAUCUUCACCUUCGGCUACAUCUCCGGCUCUCACUUCAACCCUGCCGUGUCCAUCGCCGUGUUUCUCGUGCGCCAGAUGAAGGUGGCCCAGUGCUGUGCCUACAUCCUUUGCCAGCUCACCGGCGGCCUCGCCGCCGGCGUCGUGGCGAUGAUAAUCCAGGGCAACAAGGACAUCUUUGUGCCGUCGGUGUCGACUAGCUACGUCUCCUCCGGCAUUUUCUCGGAGCUCAUCUUUACCUUCGCUAUGUGCCUUGUCGUGCUCAAUAUCGCCUACUCCCGCCAGUCUGGCCACUUCUUCUAUGGCUUUGCUGUCGGUAUGACAAUCUCCGCCGGCUCAGCCAGCGCAGGGCGCAUUUCUGGUGGCGCCUUCAACCCGGCUGCCGCGUCGGGGCUGCAGGUGGCCAUGUGUCUAGCGGGCAGGUGCGACGACCUCAAGUCCAUCUGGGUCUACUGGCUCGCCCCUGUCGUUGGCGCCAUCCUGGCAGCGGUCCUCUUCUCUCAGAUGGCGCAGCCAACCGAGACGCAGGUGCUGGAAGACAGGAAGGUGUUCCAGAAUGUGAGCGAGCUGCACCGGCAGCGCAUGGCGGCACAGGCGUUGGCCAUCCGUGCCACGGCAGGCACUACUGCAGCGAAAAGUUGCGCAGGCAGCGCGGACGAAACAAGGCCGACCUCCUCUUCGACAUCCUCUGAGAGGCAUACACUGUCGUCCUCGUCGUCUUCCUCUGAUCCGCGCGGCGAUCGCGAGAUGACGGAAGUGCCACACACUCGCACACCGCGGACGCGCGAGGAGCGUGAUACCGAGCAUGUGCAUGCGAGCACUCAAGACGGCGCAGAGGAGCUGGAUAGCGGACACACCCGGCUGCCGCCGCAGGUGCCGAGCCGCGGGGAAGUAAAGGUCGCCACCACCACAUGGGAGGGGCCGACGUUCAAUCGAUGUUAGACGCGAGAGUAUCAUGGCGCACAUCUUCUCUGAUUCUGCAUGAGGCUUCGGGCAGACCACGUGGGGCGCUCGCUCUCGCAAGCGCCGCGAACGUGCCUGCGCCUUUCUUUCCCAGCAAUUGAUGCACGUUAGGUCACCCUCAUGCAGAGCGCCACUCUCACCUCCGCCUCCUUCUUUCCCUUGCCGAGCCGCGGCAUGUUUCUUUCUGUUUCUGUGUGCGCUCGCCUUUGCCGGAAUGCUUUCGUGACGUCGUUCGCCCGUCUGUUCCGUGUCGUUUUUUUUUUUCUCACUCCCCCAUCGCUUACUGACCGAUGGCGGCGGGGCUGCAUGCGAUGGCGCUGCCGCCGCUGCUCUCGGGUGGCCCCCCUCCCUUUUUCUUUGUGCCGCCGCUGCCUUGCCUCCGUCUGUGGUGUCCUUUACUCGCUCUUCGCCCCUCCCCUCGACCCCCUCGCGUUGCUAUCCAGCCCGGCAUGAACGCCAGGUGAGCGUGCUCUGCGGGUGCUCAUCCGCAGAGGUACAAGGCCUUACUUCUGGAGUCACAAGGCCACCCAGAAGGGAAAGAGAGCUGGUCGACAUAUGUAGGCAUGACCCCACCAAAAUGUGACGACGAUGCUGUCCACAGCAGCAAGGAGAAUCGGCACAGGCAUGCUACCUUUCGCCGCGCUUUUGUUUUUCUUAAAGAGUGUAGCGAGAGCACACUGGCACGCCAUCU
Molecule: unclassified non-coding RNA, 2775 nt
Filed under: Leishmania donovani
Lineage: Eukaryota; Euglenozoa; Kinetoplastea; Trypanosomatida; Trypanosomatidae
Description: gene:LdHU3.32.3140(CDS-product:aquaporin-like_pro tein)
Source: RNAcentral